UCAGUAAAUGUUUAUUGGAUGAAUAAAUGAAUGACUCAUCAACAAACAUUUAUCGUGUGC
This 60-nucleotide microRNA precursor is filed under the name Canis lupus familiaris (dog). Its description in RNAcentral is "Cfa-Mir-421-P1-v2_pre stem-loop". Lineage: Eukaryota; Metazoa; Chordata; Mammalia; Carnivora; Canidae. The record is from RNAcentral.